Molecule: small nuclear RNA, 267 nt
Filed under: Chinchilla lanigera (long-tailed chinchilla)
Lineage: Eukaryota; Metazoa; Chordata; Mammalia; Rodentia; Chinchillidae
Description: 7SK RNA (ENSCLAG00000021533.1)
Rfam family: 7SK RNA
About the family: 7SK was discovered as an abundant small nuclear RNA in the mid-70s but a possible function has only recently been suggested. Two independent studies have found that 7SK RNA binds the CDK9/cyclin T complex (known as elongation factor P-TEFb). P-TEFb activates transcription by phosphorylating the C-terminal domain of RNA polymerase II.
Source: RNAcentral
GGAGAUGAGGGUGAUCUGCUGUGACAUCUGCCCCCUACUGACCACCAGGGUUGAUUCAGCUGAUGUGGCUGGCUAGGCAGGUGUCCUUUUGCUCCCUCCCUCUUCCAUGUGUGUCUCUGUGAACUUGGGCAAAGACCUUCUCUGACAUAGGAGGGCUGUUCUUCAGUGAAGGGGGCAUGAGCAGCUAUGCUCCCCUGCUAGAACCUCCACACAAGCUUGCAUGCUGAUUUUUGGAUAUAGUUUUCCUUCACUGUAUGUUUUCAGAUA